UGGUAUACGGUAGGAUGUAGGCUUUGCCUGCUAUCUCUUACCCAUGUCUUUUGAGUACCUUACGUUUCCUCGGCGGGUCCGCCCGCCGAUUGGACAAUUUAAACCAUUUGCAGUUGCAAUCAGCGUCUGAAAAAACUUAAUAGUUACAACUUUCAACAACGGAUCUCUUGGUUCUGGCAUCGAUGAAGAACGCAGCGAAAUGCGAUAAGUAGUGUGAAUUGCAGAAUUCAGUGAAUCAUCGAAUCUUUGAACGCACAUUGCGCCCCUUGGUAUUCCAUGGGGCAUGCCUGUUCGAGCGUCAUUUGUACCUUCAAGCUCUGCUUGGUGUUGGGUGUUUGUCUCGCCUCUGCGUGUAGACUCGCCUCAAAACAAUUGGCAGCCGGCGUAUUGAUUUCGGAGCGCAGUACAUCUCGCGCUUUGCACUCAUAACGACGACGUCCAAAAGUACAUUUUUACACUCUUGACCUCGGAUCAGGUAGGGAUACCCGCUGAACUUAAG
Molecule: ribosomal RNA, 499 nt
Filed under: Coniothyrium sp. HL23
Lineage: Eukaryota; Fungi; Ascomycota; Dothideomycetes; Pleosporales; Coniothyriaceae
Description: eukaryotic LSU rRNA
Rfam family: 5.8S ribosomal RNA (bases 148-301)
Source: RNAcentral